ACGGCCCCGCGGUGAUCAUCCAGUGCGAGGAAGCCAAGACUGCUAGAAGGGCGGCCAUCGCCGUGCAUACGACGGAGAGGCCAGAACUAAUUUCCAUGCUGAGAUGGUGUUGCCAAUUGAACCGAGGUGGCAGGAAAUCCCAGAUUCCAUUUAAGGAGGACCUACUCUGUGACAGGCAUUUGCUGGCAGUGGGAUACAGCAGACAGCAAGACAGACGUGACCCCUGCCACAUGUCAACUUUGCUGGAAUGGAAAUGUCUCCUCCACAAUGAAAAAAAAAAAUCAUCAUUUGGAUGUGAAUAAGAAUGGAAUCUGGUCUCCAGAGCAGAACUCCUGGCCUCUAGCCUCAACUUUAAGGGUCCUUCCUUCCUGAGGCUGGGAACUCUCAGAUGGCCGAGGAGAAACCUCAUCCAUCCUCAGCUCCCUCAGCAAGACAGACGUCCUGCCAUCAUGGAGUCCACGGGGCCCCCCCGCACUGUAUGAACAUCUGCAAAUUCUAUCUUAUUUCAAAUGCACCAAGGGAGGUGGCUAUUUAAAGAAUACUAUAGAAGAUCCUUUGGUAAAGACUGCAAUCACUUUCCGAUUUAUUUUUUUAUGUAAUUUUGGAUUUUCAUUUCUCUGGGGGAGAUAGAGAGGCUGAAGGCAGGUUCAUUUGCUUCCACAGCCUGCUGUUCUGGACCCUGCAUCUGCCUGCAUGGCUCAGCGUGUUGAAAUUUAUCAUC
Molecule: long non-coding RNA, 721 nt
Organism: Dama dama (fallow deer)
Lineage: Eukaryota; Metazoa; Chordata; Mammalia; Artiodactyla; Cervidae
Exons: 4
Source: RefSeq, a predicted model, not a curated record